UUUCCCUACGGGGGGCAGCAGUAGGGAAUUUUCCACAAUGGGCGAAAGCCUGAUGGAGCAACGCCGCGAGGGUGAAGAAGGUCUUCGGAUCGUAAAACCCUGUUGUUAGAGAAGAAAGUGCGUGAGAGUAACUGUUCACGUUUCGACGGUAUCUAACCAGAAAGCCACGGCUAACUACGUGCCAGCAGCAGCGGUAAUACGUAGGCGGCAAGCGUUAUCAGGAUUUAUUGGGCGUAAAGGGAAAGCAGGCGGUCUUUUAGGUCUGAUGGGAAAGCCUUCGGCUUAACAGGAG
This 292-nucleotide ribosomal RNA is filed under the name uncultured bacterium. RNAcentral's name for it is "partial 16S ribosomal RNA". It matches the Rfam family "Bacterial small subunit ribosomal RNA", at positions 334 to 618 of the family's 1533-position model. The record is from RNAcentral.